AGCAGUCGCCACGGUAAUACGUAGGUGGCAAGCGUUGUCCGGAAUUAUUGGGCGUAAAGGGCUCGCAGGCGGUUUCUUAAGUCUGAUGUGAAAGCCCCCGGCUCAACCGGGGAGGGUCAUUGGAAACUGGGAAACUUGAGUGUAGAAGAGGAGAGUGGAAUUCCACGUGUAGCGGUGAAAUGCGUAGAGAUGUGGAGGAACACCAGUGGCGAAGGCGACUCUCUGGUCUGUAACUGACGCUGAGGAGCGAAAGCGUGGGGAGCGAACAGGAUUAGAGACCCCCGUAGUCCCUGUCUCUUAUAC
This 303-nucleotide ribosomal RNA is filed under the name uncultured bacterium. RNAcentral's name for it is "partial 16S ribosomal RNA". It matches the Rfam family "Bacterial small subunit ribosomal RNA", at positions 507 to 807 of the family's 1533-position model. The record is from RNAcentral.